CACAGCUCCGCGCUCGCCUCCCCGCAGACCCAGGCCCAGUAUGGUUCUGCGGCAGCCGGCCCAGGCCCCGUGAGCCCCUCGACAGUCGUGUGAGCCCCUUGGCCCCCCGAGGAAGCGGAGCUGGCUGGUGGCUGCUCCACGGAAGCCUCCCCGUCUCUGCCCAGCACAAAGCGACUGGCCGUCCCGGGACGCUGACGCAGCACAGGCCGUUGGCUGGGGAGCCCCGCGAGUGCCCUGCGCGCUGGCCGCCGUCACUAGCGCCUUGGAGGGGCGGCGAGGCCGGUGGUUACACGGGCGCUCGCCUGCUGCCGACGCAGCGCGUCUGGAAAGCCACGUCCUGGCGGACCGGCUCCCCACUUGUUCAUUCUGCUGCGCCGGGUGGGACGUGCCUGGCCGGGCUCAAGGCAGCAGGGGGGUCUCACAAAGCAGUGGUGCUGCGCCGCCGGGCGAGGGUGCGGCCUGCCUCUUGGCUUCACUGUGCCUAGUGGAGCGGUAAUUUAUUUCUCCGGCGUAAGCCUUGUGUUGUCAUGAAACCCGGGGCCCAGUUCCCGCGGGCGCUUUCCUUGCUGCGCCAGCCCCCGGUAUGAGACCACCCGCAGCCCUGGCUCCUGAUCCCAGCAGCAGAGCCGCCCCAACUGGAGCUAGCCCGUCAGCAGGAGAGCAGCCAGGCCCAGCAGAGGCCGGAGCAGGUCCCAGAAGCUGUCAGCCCCGUGGAAUCCAGCGGUUCCCCCAGGCCACCCUGCCUGUGCUCCCCGGGCUCUCCAGCACGUCUGCUUUUAGGGAAACGUUUGUGCUGGCCGGCCCCAGCUUCCUUGCUGUCUCUGCAGCCAGCCCCCC
Molecule: non-coding RNA, 837 nt
Organism: Pelodiscus sinensis (Chinese soft-shelled turtle)
Lineage: Eukaryota; Metazoa; Chordata; Testudines; Trionychidae
Source: RefSeq, a predicted model, not a curated record